RNAcentral lists this ribosomal RNA (329 nucleotides) under uncultured eukaryote. RNAcentral describes it as "partial 18S ribosomal RNA". It matches the Rfam family "Eukaryotic small subunit ribosomal RNA", at positions 1470 to 1796 of the family's 1831-position model. The record is from RNAcentral.
CCCUUAGAUGUUCUGGGCCGCACGCGCGCUACACUGAUGCAUUCAACGAGUCUAAAACCUGCUCUGAUAGGGGUGGGUAAUCUUUUGAAUGUGCAUCGUGAUUGGGAUAGAUGAUUGCAAUUUUUCAUCUUCAACGAGGAAUGCCUAGUAAACGCAAGUCAUCAGCUUGCAUUGAUUACGUUCCUGCCCUUUGUACACACCGCCCGUCGCUCCUACCGAUUGAAUGAUCCGAUGAAUAUCAUGGAUUGAGGAUGCAAGUAGGUUCGCCUAUCUUCAUCUUCGAGAAGUGAAGUAAAUCUUAUCAUUUAGAGGAAGGAGAAGUCGUAACA